This 497-nucleotide ribosomal RNA is filed under the name uncultured bacterium. RNAcentral's name for it is "partial 16S ribosomal RNA". It matches the Rfam family "Bacterial small subunit ribosomal RNA", at positions 28 to 507 of the family's 1533-position model. The record is from RNAcentral.
GAUGAACGCUGGCGGCGUGCCUAAUACAUGCAAGUCGAGCGAACAGAUAAGGAGCUUGCUCCUUUGACGUUAGCGGCGGACGGGUGAGUAACACGUGGGUAACCUACCUAUAAGACUGGGAUAACUUCGGGAAACCGGAGCUAAUACCGGAUAAUAUUUCGAACCGCAUGGUUCGAUAGUGAAAGAUGGUUUUGCUAUCACUUAUAGAUGGACCCGCGCCGUAUUAGCUAGUUGGUAAGGUAACGGCUUACCAAGGCGACGAUACGUAGCCGACCUGAGAGCGUGAUCGGCCACACUGGAACUGAGAAACGGUCGAGACUCCUACGGGAGGCCGCAGUAGGGAAUCUUACGCGAUGGGCGAAAGCCUGACGGAGCAACGCCGCGUGAGUGAUGAAGGUCUUCGGAUCGUAAAACUCUGUUAUUAGGGAAGAACAUAAGUGUAAGUAACUGUGCACGUCUUGACGGUACCUAAUCAGAAAGCCACGGCUAACUACGUG